CUACGGGUGGCACCAGUGAGGAAUCUUGCGCAAUGGGGGAAACCCUGACGCAGCGACGCCGCGUGGGUGAUGAAGGCCUUCGGGUCGUAAAGCCCUGUCGAGAGGGAAGAAUUGCAUUUAGGUUAAUAGCCUAAUUGUUUGACGGUACCUCCAAAGGAAGCACCGGCUAACUCCGUGCCAGCAGCCGCGGUAAUACGGAGGGUGCAAGCGUUGUUCGGAAUCACUGGGCGUAAAGGGCGUGUAGGCGGCUGAGUAAGUCAGGUGUGAAAUCCCUCGGCUCAACCGAGGAAGUGCAUUUGAUACUGCUCAUCUUGAGUACUGGAGAGGGAGAUGGAAUUCCCGGUGUAGAGGUGAAAUUCGUAGAUAUCGGGAGGAACACCAGUGGCGAAGGCGAUCUCCUGGACAGAUACUGACGCUAAGGCGCGAAAGCGUGGGGAGCAAACAGGAUUAGAUACCCGAGUAGUC
RNAcentral lists this ribosomal RNA (465 nucleotides) under uncultured bacterium. Its description in RNAcentral is "partial 16S ribosomal RNA". It matches the Rfam family "Bacterial small subunit ribosomal RNA", at positions 339 to 795 of the family's 1533-position model. The record is from RNAcentral.